UGGGGUUGAAUAAUUAUGUUUGUAAUAUUUCAGAAGUUGGUAGAAAAAUAAAAUAAAAAUAGAAAAAGAAAGUAGAAAAGAAAAAAAUGAAUGAAAAAAAAUAUAAGGAUGUAUACAUGUCAAUACAUACUCCUUAUGAAAAGAAAAAAAAAAAGAGAAAGGAAAAAAAUGUGAAUGAAAACAGUUGCUAUAGAGUUGUUGAAGUGAAUGGAAUCUUUUAUAAAUUCAACUCUCGAAGUUUCUUUCAAGUCUCUUUUAUCUCUUUGAAUUUUAGCCUAGAACCCCUUAGGAUUUAUCUCACCCUUACCUUGGUCACCUUACAACCAAAUAAAAGUCCUUUUGAUCUUUGUGUGUAU
This 356-nucleotide long non-coding RNA is filed under the name Lathyrus oleraceus (garden pea). RNAcentral describes it as "Pisum sativum (pea) long non-coding RNA (PSAT_LNC000727)". Lineage: Eukaryota; Viridiplantae; Streptophyta; Magnoliopsida; Fabales; Fabaceae. The record is from RNAcentral.